Molecule: small nucleolar RNA, 229 nt
Organism: Nicotiana attenuata
Lineage: Eukaryota; Viridiplantae; Streptophyta; Magnoliopsida; Solanales; Solanaceae
Rfam family: Plant small nucleolar RNA U3
About the family: Small nucleolar RNAs (snoRNAs) are involved in the processing and modification of rRNA in the nucleolus.
Source: Rfam
CUGACCUCGAAUGUUCCAUAUACUUGGUAUACAUAUGUUCUAUAGGCUCGUACCACUGUAUCCUUGAGUUCUAAGGAGACAGAAAACCAAGUCUGGUUGAUGAGGCAUGGCUAUGAGGCUAGAGCGUGAUUAAUAGCCUUCCAUGGUCGCUUGUGGCCUUGGAGCAGUAGAGGAUCGUUCUCAGCUCUGCUUACAGGCCUGGGAUGGUUUCAUAGCUGUCUGAUAGACU